GGGAUCCACCCUCGGUCUAUAUCCGAGGAAGUUACAGCGGAUCACGUCUCCCAUCACCAACCCUCUGGAUCCUGAUUAUCCUCGUCGCCGCCCUCUUGGAUCCCAGUCUCCUCCCACGCCCUGCACCCGCCCUCUCCAGCCAAGCCCUGCACCUGCCCUAGCCCCCACCAUCAACGGCCACGGCACCGGCGGCAUUGCAGGGGCUGAGGUAGGGGUCAUUUUUGCUGUUGUUGCCGUGCGUGGCCGCCGCUGGGUGACCCUCCUGCGACGACGACGACAGAGACACGCAGUUGCUGCCCCACUGCUACAGGUCCUCGAGCUACCGGGGGAGGAAGGUGCGCCAUACCUAGUCCGAGUCAGCGGCGACGCGGAAGACCAGGGACACAACAUCGCAGCGCCAAGCGUCGCGCGGGAGGCCCAUGCCGAGGUUUCGUGCAGAUAAAAAGCCAUAUGCAUUCUGAUGCCUCUCGACUCCUGCUGCAGUCCGUGCCGAGGAGGUAUAGCUCGUCGACAACGAUGCUAAUCGCCGCAAAUAUGAGAUUUUGGCACCAGAGCAGUUAAACCAGUUGUAUCCCUCUGUGUUUUAAGUAAAACACAAUAUGUCACACAUGACAAUGUUAUAUAUGUGGAGAACGAGUCCCUAAAGAGGACGUUGACAUACACAUUUUAGAAGGCACAAAGACAUUCUAUUGGAACAUCUCUUGUGGAAGAAGAUAAACUUGAGGUUGCAACUUCCCUUAUUGAGAAGGCAAAGGCAAAGGGGGUUUCUCUUUUGCUUCCCAGUGAUAUUGUAGUAGCAAACAAGUUUGCAGCUGAUAUUGGGAGCAAGGUUAGCUUAUUUUACACAUACACACAUCAGAUUGGUACUUCGGAAUUCUUUCUCUUUUUUGUGAUAAAUUGUGAAAGCUAUUCAGUACUAAUUUUACAGCUUACAUGUGCAACAAGGUAGCAGCGAUAGAAGAUAUUUUUGUGUGUAACCACUAACCAUCAUUUUGGAAGCAACCAACAUCAUAACCAAGAUAACAUUGUCUUAAACUUUCAUUUUGGUUCCCCUUUGAAAUGUGUUUCCCAGAAACACCAUAUGAUCUCCAGACUAAACUCAAGAACAAAAUACAUUUGGAGAAAUUAGCAAUCUGUUAUAAUGAACACUGGAAACUGAAGCCAAAGUUUCUGUUAAAAGUGCACGAAAAAAUGAAGCCAAAGGAAGGAUUAGCAUUGGGAACUUGUUGCUUCCUCUGCCCCUAGACAUGUUUUCAAUGCAAAGAAACACACACUUAAAAUCAAAUAAUAGCAAAUAUAGCAUUAUAAUGCAUUAAAUUUUCUAAGUAUUUUUCCAUGUAUAAUAUAAUGAGCCUAUCAGUUGCAAAACAUCUGUCCCAAAAACAUGAAAAACCAACAUAAACAGUCGGGUUGUAUAUUAUUGAGUAUAAGGUGCAUUUUUUUGUAAAACCAAAGAAUCUUAACCAUGUGCAAUAUUAUGCAGAGACGAGCUAUUAAAACUGUAAAUUGUCUUACAGUUGCAAUCAUGUCGUAACAUUGUUCGUACAUUGUCUCUUAACAGUAAGUGCUACAUUUUGAUGCUAUGGGAUAUUCUUAACAGUAAGUGCUACAUGUUGAUGCUAUGGAGUCUCAUUAUCAAACUCCUUGGCAUCCCAUCCAGCAUCGUGAGGGCGGAUGUACUUAAUGUAGGCACCUACGCAUUCAAGGCCAUUCUGAAGUCUCACUUCAAACUGCUCCAAAAGGGAUCCGGCUGUUGCAGCCGCGUAGCUGACUGCCUCUACUGCAUGUGCUGCAUCAGGUCUUUCGGUUGAGGUUGCUUGGCGACUACCAUCAUUCUACACGCAUCACUUUUGUGGAAUUCGUGAUGGUCAGCUAAGCAUACCUGUGACGAAACGCGCCGAGUCCAGGAGCGCGUCGACGCAGGGGCUCGGGAAUGCGGUGUCGCCAUCGCGGAACCCUAGCGAGAUCGUCGGGAAGGUCCAAAGGCGAGCAUGUUUUUGUGUAACCUUUCUCCCCUUCCCCCCUUUGUCGGCCGGCCCUUCAGCGGCAAUAAGUGCCCACCGCCCACCAGGUAUGCCCAACGGCCACCUUCCCUGCUGUUCGAAACCGAGCUGCCAAACCCUAAUGAAAACCAUUUGUAUUCGGAUCUGAUCUAAUUACACCUGUUAUGCCUACUAACUGUCCAUCCACUUGGCUUUGUUUGGUUGAUAUCUUUUUGUUCUUGCAUAAUGGAUUAGUUCAUGGAUGGGGUCUCGAUUUUGCUCUGUGGAAAUGUGUGGUGGUACACACUUCACAACAUAGUUACAGCAUUGAAGAGAAUCGUGACUACAAUGAGUGGAACUGCACUAUCACUAUAGGUCUAUAGCAGUAGAGUUAUGAAGGAACUUUAUCAUUCACUGACUCAUAAUUGCUGCAUGUUUUGUAUAAUGAAUUUUUGGUUGAUGGAGCUCGGGUUGUGGGUAAUAGAUGCAUCCAGUCAGAUCGUGUUCACUUGGGGAAGGGUACAUGGAUUUUGUGCUGAACACAAACUUACAAAGGCACAUGUCUUAACUCUUAAUACAAGUUUUGCUUAAUGACUUCAUGUGAUUACCAAUGUUUAUAGCAAACUUUGGUGAAUAUUCACCUUUCGCAUAUCAAUUCUUAGUUUCAACAGAUUAGCAUGUUUCAUGGACAUGGAAUGGAGAAGAUCUACCCCCUCCUGAUACUAAAGCUAUUAGGGAUAUCUGUGUACUGCCUGGUGGGCAUGUUGUUAUUGCAUCACUAAGCAGUAAGUUCCCUUUUCAGGUCUAUAAAGAAAGUGUGCAAGUUCUAUUCUUCACUGUUUUUUUGCUACAUUUACUGAAAUAUGACCUUUGUUCAUAUGAUCUACUGGUAGUUCUUCGACCUUUCAAUUUCACAAAACUUGCAACUAUUUUUAUGCUCUGCAUCCUACCAAAAGUAUACAUUGUCUUUCUACUACUUAGACCUAGGUAUGAGCAAGUCUGUUGCAUUUCUAUUCUUUCUACUACUUAUACAUGCACUGCAUUAUGUAUUUAACUUUUAAGAAGAUCAAGCAGGUGCUUGGUAAUCAAAGCACCUUGCUCUUCCUUGUAACAAGGCAGCAAGGGCACAAGUUAUAUUCCAGACAUUAUCCGAUGUUAUAGUCAGGAUGUACUACCCCAUAGAUGGUUGUUUUUCAGUAUGCUGUUUGAUUUCCAAUGACUUCGCUAAACUUUUCUGUGCUUCAGUGGAGGUCGAACCAUCAUCUUCACUAAGACAAAGGAUUCUGCAUCAUAGCUUUCUGGUAAUACUGGUGUUGCUGUCAUGCUUUAUGAGCCCAGAUAUAAGCACAGUGUCAGCAGACUAGAAAGGGAGUCUAGGGUUAAAUUUGAGCAUAUCUCUGUGCCACAACCCACUGAUGUAGCACAAUCUGCUGGCAGUGAAGCUGCAGAUGCCAUUGCGAGUGUGUCAGAUAGUGUUAUUCCUAUCUUCAGGCAGCAAGCAGAGCAGUUGCUAAGCUCUUACAGUCUGUCUGCAGCUGACUUGCUUGCCAAAGCACUUGCGAAGGGUUACACAGACAUAAAGAAAAGAUCAUUGUUAUCUUCCUUGGAGGAUUACAGUACACUACAUCUUCAAACUGGCAGACCGAUGUGGUCACCUGGGUUUGCUAUAACAUUCUGGUGAUCGUGUUUCUUUAUCGUCGGGGUCAUAUUUGUUCCCAUUGGUGUUAUCUUCAGUUUGACGUCGGCAACGUGGUCAUGGUGACCGGCGGGAGGAACACCGGGCGUGUAGGAGUGAUCAAGAACUGGGAGAAGCACAAGAGCAUCUUCGAGGUCAUCGACGUGCUGCUUGGAGUUUUUUGCAUGCUAUGUCUAGUUUUCUCCUAUUUGUUGUACAGGAAAACAUAGAAUGGAAUUCAAAUUUGGUGGUCGCAAAAGUGUGGUGACUUAAAUUCAUAUAAAGUUAGGCUUAACAUUAGUGCAAACAGUUGUAUUUUAGUUUAAAUUUAGAGUACACUUAUGUAUGCCU
Zea mays is the source of this 4008-nucleotide long non-coding RNA. RefSeq lists it as uncharacterized. The record is from RefSeq and is a predicted model, not a curated record. The transcript is spliced from 7 exons. Lineage: Eukaryota; Viridiplantae; Streptophyta; Magnoliopsida; Poales; Poaceae.